AGCAGCCGCGGUAAUUCCAGCUCCAAUAGCGUAUAUUAAAGUUGUUGCAGUUAAAAGCUCGUAGUUGAAUUUCGGGAUCAAUAUUUCGGUCAUGCCGUUGGUAUGCACUGUUAUCAUUGAUUUCUCACCUUCUAAAGAACCGUAACGCCAUUAAUUUGGUGUUACGGGGAAUUAGGACUGUUACCUUGAAAAAUUAGAGUGUUUAAGGCAGGCUCACGCUUGAAUACAUUAGCAUGGAAUAAUGAAAUAGGACAUCCGAUUCUAUUUUGUUGGUUUCUAGGAUCGAUGUAAUGAUUAAUAGGGAUAGUUGGGGGCAUUAGUAUUCAAUUGUCAGAGGUGAGAUUCUUGGAUUUAUUGAAGACUAACUACUGCGAAAGCAUUUGCCAAGGAUGUUUUCAUUAAUCAAGAACGAAAGUUAGGGGAUCGAAGACGAUCAGAUACCGUCGUAGU
This 450-nucleotide ribosomal RNA is filed under the name uncultured Glomeromycotina. RNAcentral describes it as "SSU rRNA". It matches the Rfam family "Eukaryotic small subunit ribosomal RNA", at positions 569 to 1024 of the family's 1831-position model. Lineage: Eukaryota; Fungi; Glomeromycota. The record is from RNAcentral.